CCCGAAGCAAAAAGAGUCAGUCAGUGUCGCGGUCAGUGUAACAAAACUGUCGUUAACACUGGUUAGAGGUGACAUGCUAUUCAAUUUUUGUAUAUCUGGUUUUGCUUUUUUUAAUUUAAUUUAAUAGUAGAUUAAAAUAUAUCUAUUUAUGUCCCCCAGGGGGGAAAGCUCCUUGGUGCCAGCUAGUUAGUGGCAUUUAAAGUAGGCUUGAUACCUUUCUCUGCGAGUGGUAAAAUUUUAACUAAGCUGGAGUCUAAGCAUACUUGGAACCUUUUCUGACUGGAGACAAUAAAUAUAUUAGUAAUUUAAUUUUUAUAAAAACUUAUAGAUUCAUUAUAAUUUAAUUAUUGGAUGCGCGGUAAUAGAACUCGGCAAAACUAGUUUCGCAUGUUUAACAAAAACAUCUCUUGGUAACUUCUAGGUAAUCUCUGCCCUAUGAGUAGUUUAAAUGGCCGCAGUAUUUUGACUGUGCAAAGGUAGCAUAAUCACUUGUUUCUUAAUUAGGGGCUGGAAUGAAAGAGGCGACGAAAUCUAGACUAUUUAGAUUUUUAGGUAAAUUGACAAGUAGGUCAAAAGGCCCACAUAAACCAGGGGGACGAUAAGACCCUGUAAAACUUUACUUUUAGCGUAUUUGCUUAAUGGGGUGCCUUUACAGUUGAGAGUUAGGCUGGGGCGGUGCUUAUAAAAACAAUUAGACAUAUAAUAUAUUAAAUAGUGUGUUAGAGCUCUUUUAAGAAAUAGAACAAGUUACUUUAGGGAUAACAGCGUAAUUCUCCCAGAGAGUCCUAAUUGGCGGGGGAGCUUACGACCUCGAUGUUGAAUUGGGAAACCGUGUGUAAGCAAAAAUAUGCAAAGACAGUCUGUUCGACUGGUAAGUUCCCACAUGAUUUGAGUUCAGACCGGCGCAAGCCAGGUUGGUUUCUAUCUCUUGGUUGUUAAAGAUCAAAAUUGUACGAAAGGACCAUUUGGU
RNAcentral lists this ribosomal RNA (970 nucleotides) under Proasellus cavaticus. Its description in RNAcentral is "16S ribosomal RNA". It matches the Rfam family "Bacterial large subunit ribosomal RNA", at positions 714 to 2700 of the family's 2925-position model. Lineage: Eukaryota; Metazoa; Arthropoda; Malacostraca; Isopoda; Asellidae. The record is from RNAcentral.